RNAcentral lists this microRNA precursor (61 nucleotides) under Sphenodon punctatus (tuatara). Its description in RNAcentral is "Spt-Mir-33-P3_pre stem-loop". It matches the Rfam family "mir-33 microRNA precursor family", at positions 6 to 65 of the family's 69-position model. The record is from RNAcentral. Lineage: Eukaryota; Metazoa; Chordata; Lepidosauria; Sphenodontia; Sphenodontidae.
GUGCAUUGUAGUUGCAUUGCAUGUUUUGGCAGUACCCGUGCAAUGUUUCUGCAGUGCAGCA